UGGGGAAUUUUGGACAAUGGGCGAAAGCCUGAUCCAGCCAUGCCGCGUGCAGGAUGAAGGCCUUCGGGUUGUAAACUGCUUUUGUACGGAACGAAAAGCCUCUUUCUAAUAAAGAGAGGUCAUGACGGUACCGUAAGAAUAAGCACCGGCUAACUACGUGCCAGCAGCCGCGGUAAUACGUAGGGUGCAAGCGUUAAUCGGAAUUACUGGGCGUAAAGCGUGCGCAGGCGGUUUUGUAUGACAGAGGUGAAAUCCCCGGGCUCAACCUGGGAACUGCCUUUGUGACUGCAAGGCUGGAGUGCGGCAGAGGGGGAUGGAAUUCCGCGUGUAGCAGUGAAAUGCGUAGAUAUGCGGAGGAACACCGAUGGCGAAGGCAAUCCCCUGGGCCUGCACUGACGCUCAUGCACGAAAGCGUGGGGAGCAAACAGGAUUAGAUACCCUGGGUAGUCCACGCCCUAAAGCGAUGUCAACUGGUUGUUGGGUCUUCACUGACUCAGUAACGAAGCUAACGCGUGAAGUUGACCGCCUGGGGA
RNAcentral lists this ribosomal RNA (533 nucleotides) under uncultured bacterium. RNAcentral's name for it is "partial 16S ribosomal RNA". It matches the Rfam family "Bacterial small subunit ribosomal RNA", at positions 355 to 879 of the family's 1533-position model. The record is from RNAcentral.